Molecule: ribosomal RNA, 2924 nt
Filed under: Salmonella enterica
Lineage: Bacteria; Pseudomonadati; Pseudomonadota; Gammaproteobacteria; Enterobacterales; Enterobacteriaceae
Description: 23S ribosomal RNA
Rfam family: Bacterial large subunit ribosomal RNA
Source: RNAcentral
GGGUUGUGAGGUUAAGCGACUAAGCGUACACGGUGGAUGCCCUGGCAGUCAGAGGCGAUGAAGGGCGUGCUAAUCUGCGAUAAGCGCCGGUAAGGUGAUAUGAACCGUUAUAACCGGCGAUACCCGAAUGGGGAAACCCAGUGUGACUCGUCACACUAUCAUUAACUGAAUCCAUAGGUUAAUGAGGCGAACCGGGGGAACUGAAACAUCUAAGUACCCCGAGGAAAAGAAAUCAACCGAGAUUCCCCCAGUAGCGGCGAGCGAACGGGGAGGAGCCCAGAGCCUGAAUCAGCAUGUGUGUUAGUGGAAGCGUCUGGAAAGGCGCGCGAUACAGGGUGACAGCCCCGUACACAAAAGCGCAUGUGCUGUGAGCUCGAUGAGUAGGGCGGGACACGUGGUAUCCUGUCUGAAUAUGGGGGGACCAUCCUCCAAGGCUAAAUACUCCUGACUGACCGAUAGUGAACCAGUACCGUGAGGGAAAGGCGAAAAGAACCCCGGCGAGGGGAGUGAAAAAGAACCUGAAACCGUGUACGUACAAGCAGUGGGAGCACAGGUUUACCUGUGUGACUGCGUACCUUUUGUAUAAUGGGUCAGCGACUUAUAUUCUGUAGCAAGGUUAACCGAAUAGGGGAGCCGGAGGGAAACCGAGUCUUAAUUGGGCGUUAAGUUGCAGGGUAUAGACCCGAAACCCGGUGAUCUAGCCAUGGGCAGGUUGAAGGUUGGGUAACACUAACUGGAGGACCGAACCGACUAAUGUUGAAAAAUUAGCGGAUGACCUGUGGCUGGGGUGAAAGGCCAAUCAAACCGGGAGAUAGCUGGUUCUCCCCGAAAGCUAUUUAGGUAGCGCCUCGUGAAUUCAUCUCCGGGGGUAGAGCACUGUUUCGGCUAGGGGGCCAUCCCGGCUUACCAACCCGAUGCAAACUGCGAAUACCGGAGAAUGUUAUCACGGGAGACACACGGCGGGUGCUAACGUCCGUCGUGAAGAGGGAAACAACCCAGACCGCCAGCUAAGGUCCCAAAGUCAUGGUUAAGUGGGAAACGAUGUGGGAAGGCCCAGACAGCCGGAUGUUGGCUUAGAAGCAGCCAUCAUUUAAAGAAAGCGUAAUAGCUCACUGGUCGAGUCGGCCUGCGCGGAAGAUGUAACGGGGCUAAACCAUGCACCGAAGCUGCGGCAGCGACACUGUGUGUUGUUGGGUAGGGGAGCGUUCUGUAAGCCUGCGAAGGUGGCCUGUGAGGGUUGCUGGAGGUAUCAGAAGUGCGAAUGCUGACAUAAGUAACGAUAAAGCGGGUGAAAAGCCCGCUCGCCGGAAGACCAAGGGUUCCUGUCCAACGUUAAUCGGGGCAGGGUGAGUCGACCCCUAAGGCGAGGCCGAAAGGCGUAGUCGAUGGGAAACGGGUUAAUAUUCCCGUACUUGGUGUUACUGCGAAGGGGGGACGGAGAAGGCUAUGUUGGCCGGGCGACGGUUGUCCCGGUUUAAGCGUGUAGGUGUGUGUUCCGGUAAAUCCGGUUCACUUUAACACUGAGGCGUGACGACGAGGCACUACGGUGCUGAAGCAACAAAUGCCCUGCUUCCGUGAAAAGCCUCUAAGCAUCAGGUAACAUCAAAUCGUACCCCAAACCGACACAGGUGGUCAGGUAGAGAAUACCAAGGCGCUUGAGAGAACUCGGGUGAAGGAACUAGGCAAAAUGGUGCCGUAACUUCGGGAGAAGGCACGCUGACACGUAGGUGAAGUGAUUUACUCAUGGAGCUGAAGUCAGUCGAAGAUACCAGCUGGCUGCAACUGUUUAUUAAAAACACAGCACUGUGCAAACACGAAAGUGGACGUAUACGGUGUGACGCCUGCCCGGUGCCGGAAGGUUAAUUGAUGGGGUCAGCGCAAGCGAAGCUCCUGAUCGAAGCCCCGGUAAACGGCGGCCGUAACUAUAACGGUCCUAAGGUAGCGAAAUUCCUUGUCGGGUAAGUUCCGACCUGCACGAAUGGCGUAAUGAUGGCGGGCUGUCUCCACCCGAGACUCAGUGAAAUUGAACUCGCUGUGAAGAUGCAGUGUACCCGCGGCAAGACGGAAAGACCCCGUGAACCUUUACUAUAGCUUGACACUGAACAUUGAGCCUUGAUGUGUAGGAUAGGUGGGAGGCUUUGAAGUGUGGACGCCAGUCUGCAUGGAGCCGACCUUGAAAUACCACCCUUUAAUGUUUGAUGUUCUAACGUGGACCCGUUACCCGGGUUGCGGACAGUGUCUGGUGGGUAGUUUGACUGGGGCGGUCUCCUCCUAAAGAGUAACGGAGGAGCACGAAGGUUGGCUAAUCCUGGUCGGACAUCAGGAGGUUAGUGCAAUGGCAUAAGCCAGCUUGACUGCGAGCGUGACGGCGCGAGCAGGUGCGAAAGCAGGUCAUAGUGAUCCGGUGGUUCUGAAUGGAAGGGCCAUCGCUCAACGGAUAAAAGGUACUCCGGGGAUAACAGGCUGAUACCGCCCAAGAGUUCAUAUCGACGGCGGUGUUUGGCACCUCGAUGUCGGCUCAUCACAUCCUGGGGCUGAAGUAGGUCCCAAGGGUAUGGCUGUUCGCCAUUUAAAGUGGUACGCGAGCUGGGUUUAGAACGUCGUGAGACAGUUCGGUCCCUAUCUGCCGUGGGCGCUGGAGAACUGAGGGGGGCUGCUCCUAGUACGAGAGGACCGGAGUGGACGCAUCACUGGUGUUCGGGUUGUCAUGCCAAUGGCACUGCCCGGUAGCUAAAUGCGGAAGAGAUAAGUGCUGAAAGCAUCUAAGCACGAAACUUGCCCCGAGAUGAGUUCUCCCUGAGACUUAAAGUCUCCUGAAGGAACGUUGAAGACGACGACGUUGAUAGGCCGGGUGUGUAAGCGCAGCGAUGCGUUGAGCUAACCGGUACUAAUGAACCGUGAGGCUUAACCUUACAACGCCGAAG